UGACCGUGCGAAGGUAGCAUAAUCAUUAGUCUUUUAAUUGAAGGCUUGUAUGAAUGGUUGGACGAGAAGUAAUCUGUCUCUAUUGAAAAAAUUGAAUUUAACUUUUGAGUGAGAAGGCUUAAAUGAUCUAGAGGGACGAUAAGACCCUAUAAAGUUUAACAUUAUAAUAAUAAAAAGUUGAUUAGGUUAGAAGAACUUAUUAUUGUGAGUAGUGUUUUGUUGGGGCGACAAGAAUAUAAAUAAUUUAACUGUUCUUUUUUGUAUCAAAGAUAUUUGAGUUAAUGAUCUUUUUAAGAGUAUUAGAGUAAAUUACUUUAGGGAUAACAGCGUAAUUUUUUUUGAGAGUUCCUAUCGACAAAAGAGUUUGCGACCUCGAUGUUGAAUUAAAGAUUCUUUAUAAUGUAGAAGUUAUAUAAGAAGGUCUGUUCGACCUUUAAAUCUUUACAUGAUUUGAGUUCAGACCGGUGCGAGCCAGGUUGGUUUCUAUCUA
This 490-nucleotide ribosomal RNA is filed under the name Euastacus suttoni. RNAcentral's name for it is "partial 16S ribosomal RNA". It matches the Rfam family "Bacterial large subunit ribosomal RNA", at positions 1943 to 2644 of the family's 2925-position model. Lineage: Eukaryota; Metazoa; Arthropoda; Malacostraca; Decapoda; Parastacidae. The record is from RNAcentral.